CCUACGGGCGGCAGCAGUGAGGAAUAUUGGUCAAUGGACGAGAGUCUGAACCAGCAAAGUAGCGUGAAGGAUGACUGCCCUAUGGGUUGUAAACUUCUUUUAUAUGGGAAUAAAACGUUCCACGUGUGGGAUUUUGUAUGUACCAUAUGAAUAAGGAUCGGCUAACUCCGUGCCAGCAGCCGCGGUAAUACGGCGGAUCCGAGCGUUAUCCGGAUUUAUUGGGUUUAAAGGGAGCGUAGGUGGAUUGUUAAGUCAGUUGUGAAAGUUUGCGGCUCAACCGUAAAAUUGCAGUUGAAACUGGCAGUCUUGAGUACAGUAGAGGUGGGCGGAAUUCGUGGUGUAGCGGUGAAAUGCUUAGAUAUCACGAAGAACUCCGAUUGCGAAGGCAGUUCACUGGACUGCAACUGACACUGAGGCUCGAAAGUGUGGGUAUCAAACAGGAUUAGAUACCCCGGUAGUC
This 460-nucleotide ribosomal RNA is filed under the name uncultured bacterium. Its description in RNAcentral is "partial 16S ribosomal RNA". It matches the Rfam family "Bacterial small subunit ribosomal RNA", at positions 338 to 795 of the family's 1533-position model. The record is from RNAcentral.